Long non-coding RNA from Oreochromis niloticus (Nile tilapia), 1628 nucleotides. RefSeq lists it as uncharacterized. NCBI's taxonomy places the organism in Eukaryota, Metazoa, Chordata, Actinopteri, Cichliformes, Cichlidae. The record is from RefSeq and is a predicted model, not a curated record. The transcript is spliced from 2 exons.
GGUAUUGUAAAGCGCUUUGAGGGUAACGAAAAGCACUAUAUAAAUGCAAUCCAUUAUUAUUAUUAUUAUAGAUUAGCCUUGACCGUCUUAGCAAUUUUUUUUACAUGCUUGUCCAAUUUAAGACGUAAAUCAACAAUUAUUCCUAAAAACUUAAAAUCUUUGACCUCUUUUAUUUCUUCGUUCCUUCACUGGAUUUUAAACUCAUCAUUUAUCUGAUCAUCAGGAACAACCUAAGAAUCUGUUAGUCUCACUCAUUUAAACCCUCUGCUGCAUUCUGUUCACCCCUGCUAUCAUUCAAUCAUCUUUCCUAAUAUAAUAUUAGUCCACUAGUUCAUAUAUCGUUUCUCAUCUUACUAAGUGAGCCGAACAAGAUGAUAAAAUCAGAAACACAGGCUUAAAAUACCAUCUGGUAUUCAUGAGCUUCAUUGCAUAUGUGUGUAUGUGUUAGUAGGAUUAAAACAUUCUGUGCUUAUGUAUGUUGUUUUAAUUACAUUACCCCUUUUUCUGAAACAAAUCUCUGUUUACUACACCUUCUUGUUUCAGAAACAUCUAAAGAAGAAAGUCUCUAUUGUAGUCAGGCACAGCUAAAUUCUGCUUGUGAGUUAACCUAGCUAACCACACUGUGUGUUGUUAACACCUUCAACAUGUACCCCCUGGUGAUGUGUGCCACUUCCUCUAUGUCCUCUAUUUGUACCACCAUAUGGAGAACCACAAUAGCCACACACAUCGAAAUACAGAAUUCUUAGAUGCUUAGAUAAUGAAUUGUAGAAUAAAUUCUCCAUUUGUAAAAUAAUUUUAGAAUUCCACAUUAACAAAGUGAGUUUCGAAAUGUUUUUUAAAAACCUCAUUACCAUCCUAGGGGAGCUAAGAUGGUAAUGAGGUGCUUGAAAUGUUGUAGGUGGCUGAGUUUAUACUGCUACCAUUGAAACUGAUUGGGACUCCGUCUUUGUGGAUCUAUGGAAGUCCAUAUAUACAGGGUGUAGCAUCCCCUGGGUAAAGGCGGUGAAAUGCAGGGGGGUCAGUGAUUUUUUCCCUUUCAAGUUCUUGUAGGCAACUGAUGACUUUGUUUUUGUAGUUGCUUCUGUCGUUUCACCUUGAAGCUUCAUAGGUAUUGUUGUCACUGAGGAGUUUAGUCAUGUUUAUUUGAUCUGCUUCUUUUUGUCAGGGAUAAAAUACACAUGUAUACUUUUUGUGUCCCAGCUGAGUAACAGGAGGAGAAGAGUGGUGGUGCAGCAGAGGAACAAUUUCAGCCAUUUGGACUCAGCUCAGCCACUACAGAGGAAACAAUGACUUCAACACAAAAGGACCAACAUGGAGCGAGAAGUCAGCGCUCUCAGGAGGCCGACAAACCUCACAGAAGAAAGGGAGAGAAAACAUACACCUGUGACGAGUGUGGGAAGGGUUUUACUGGGAAGGGUUUACUAAAACAACAUCAGGUCAUCCACACUGGAGAGCGACCGUUCAGCUGUGACUUGUGUGGAAACUCUUUUAACCGGGCUGAAACCUUAAAAAGACACCAAGUAAUGCACAGUGGAGUUAAAGCGUUCAGUUGUGACUUGUGUGGAAAGUCUUUUACUCUGGCUCAAAGCCUGAAAACACACCAAGUCAUCCACAGUGGAGUUAAAGCA